UUUUUAUUCUAUUUUGUUAGGUUGUGUUUUGUUUAAAUAUUCACUCCACAAAUUUUGUAUGUUAUUUCAGCAUUUGAGGAAACCGUCUUCCUGAACUCCACAAAUUUUGUAUGUUAUUUCAGCACUUGAGGAAACCGUCUCCCUGAACUCCACUGCAUCUCAGUUCAUCUUGGCAGAAUUUUUCUAAAAGUCAAAAUAAAAUGUGAUUGGCAUUCAAUCUGGUUAUCAUCUUUUGAGCUUGAGGCUAAACUGCUUUUAACCUUGGG
This 266-nucleotide long non-coding RNA is filed under the name Pan paniscus (pygmy chimpanzee). Its description in RNAcentral is "lncRNA (ENSPPAG00000044841.1)". The record is from RNAcentral. Lineage: Eukaryota; Metazoa; Chordata; Mammalia; Primates; Hominidae.